GUGGACAUCAUCAUUCUACACCAACUCAUGUUCAUAACCCGCCCACUGCCACUCCUAGUACCCCUUCCACACCAACACAUGAAAGCCCUCCAAUCAUUGACCCAGGAACUCCAACACCAACGUAUGGAAGCCCUCCAACAAAUGAAAGCCCUCCAACCAUUGACCCAGUAACUCCUUCAACACCAACAUAUGGAAGCCCUCCAACAACAGAAAGCCCUCCAAGCAUAGCCCCGGAAACUCCUUCAACACCAAGUACUGGAAGCCCUCCCACCAUAGAUCCUGUGACUCCUUCGACCCCAACAUAUGGAAGCCCUCCAACCAUUGACCCAGUAACUCCUUCAACGCCAACAUAUGGAAGCCCUCCAACAACAGAAAGCCCUCCAAGUAUAGCCCCAG
Molecule: long non-coding RNA, 396 nt
Filed under: Daucus carota (carrot)
Lineage: Eukaryota; Viridiplantae; Streptophyta; Magnoliopsida; Apiales; Apiaceae
Description: long non-coding RNA (DCAR_LNC003418)
Source: RNAcentral